This 275-nucleotide ribosomal RNA is filed under the name uncultured bacterium. RNAcentral describes it as "partial 16S ribosomal RNA". It matches the Rfam family "Bacterial small subunit ribosomal RNA", at positions 1217 to 1500 of the family's 1533-position model. The record is from RNAcentral.
CACACGUGUUACAAUGGGGGGUACAGAGGGCCGCUACCACGCGAGUGGAUGCCAAUCCCCAAAACCUCUCUCAGUUCGGACUGGAGUCUGCAACCCGACUCCACGAAGCUGGAUUCGCUAGUAAUCGCGCAUCAGCCACGGCGCGGUGAAUACGUUCCCGGGCCUUGUACACACCGCCCGUCAAGCCAUGGGAGCCGGGGGUACCUGAAGUGCGUAACCGCGAGGAGCGCCCUAGGGUAAAACUGGUGACUGGGGCUAAGUCGUAACAAGGUACC